CUACUCCUUCUGUUUCUCCCUCUUCUUUUCAUUUUGUUCCUCCUCUUGAGCAUUCCCUUUCUAAGCCAGAUUUCUCUAUUCCCAUUUGUUCCUCUCCAUCUUCACCUUCUGUUUUAGCUUCUCCUUCUUCCUGUCCAGUUUCCAGUCCUCCUUUCAACCCUGACAUCUCCCCUCCUGCUUUGCCUUCCCCCACAUCACCUACUGUUCCCAGGAAAUCUGGAAGACAUCACAAUCCUCCUUCUUAUCUUAAGGAUUAUGUC
Molecule: long non-coding RNA, 260 nt
Filed under: Nicotiana benthamiana
Lineage: Eukaryota; Viridiplantae; Streptophyta; Magnoliopsida; Solanales; Solanaceae
Description: long non-coding RNA (NBEN_LNC001674)
Source: RNAcentral